This 274-nucleotide unclassified non-coding RNA is filed under the name uncultured fungus. RNAcentral describes it as "sequence contains ITS1". The record is from RNAcentral. Lineage: Eukaryota; Fungi.
GUAUAAGUUUUUAUAGGCACAAAGGCCCAAUAUGUUACAUUCUGUUACAUUCAAUGGGGUAUAUGAAAAAACAUAGACUUGGAAAUGCAAGGAAAGCCAGCUAGUGCCAGCAAGUCCUCCCGACCGAGUUGCCUCGGAAAGUCAAUCCAAGUCUACAAGAGGUGCACAGGUGGAGAGAUGAGGAUGAUGGGUGUGCACAUGCCCCCGAAAGGGCCAGCAACAACCACACCAAGUUCAUUCAAUAAUGAUCCUUCCGCAGGUUCACCUACGGAAA